AUGAAGGUAAUUAUGGAGAGAAUGAAGAGUGAGUUCUGCGUUUUGUAUUGCAGAGAUAGAGUGAAGAUGGUGAUGAUGAUGAUUGCUGAGGUGCGAUUUGAUAUUGAUAACAGAUGGAGAUUAUGUUGUUUCAGAGAGGUGAGGAAGAUUCUAGAAGAAGAAUUGUUGAUGUUGAUUGCUGAAACUAUUCUCAGAGAGAGCAGAGGGAAGCUUCAGUUGCAGAAGUAG
Non-coding RNA from Vicia faba (fava bean), 228 nucleotides. The record is from the annotation of a GenBank genome assembly. NCBI's taxonomy places the organism in Eukaryota, Viridiplantae, Streptophyta, Magnoliopsida, Fabales, Fabaceae.